CUAAGUUUGAUGGCGACCGGCGCACGGGUGAGUAACACGUAUCCAACCUGCCGAUGACUCGGGGAUAGCCUUUCGAAAGAAAGAUUAAUACCCGAUGGCAUAGUUCUUCCGCAUGGUAGAACUAUUAAAGAAUUUCGGUCAUCGAUGGGGGUGCGUUCCAUUAGGUUGUUGGCGGGGUAACGGCUCACCAAACCUUCGAUGGAUAGGGGUUCUGAGAGGAAGGUCCCCCACAUUGGAACUGAGACACGGUCCAA
This 254-nucleotide ribosomal RNA is filed under the name uncultured bacterium. RNAcentral describes it as "partial 16S ribosomal RNA". It matches the Rfam family "Bacterial small subunit ribosomal RNA", at positions 79 to 334 of the family's 1533-position model. The record is from RNAcentral.